Molecule: long non-coding RNA, 608 nt
Organism: Chinchilla lanigera (long-tailed chinchilla)
Lineage: Eukaryota; Metazoa; Chordata; Mammalia; Rodentia; Chinchillidae
Exons: 3
Source: RefSeq, a predicted model, not a curated record
GCGGUGGGCCCACUCGCUUGCGCCCAUCUGACGCCUCCACCGGCUCCAACGCUCGGUCUUUCUAUUCGGGGUGUAGCUUCAAAGGUAGAGAAGUUUAUUUUCAACGUCUCACGAAAAGAAAAAGGCGCACUAUUUUACAGGACGCCUACGAAGAAAGAAUCACGUUCACACUGUUCCGCCGCAAAGCGCGGAGGGAUCUGUGAGACACGCCUUGGUUCCGGUGUUAGUUCCGUGCGCGGGGAGAGAAAGUCUUUCAUCUCAAGCGUAUUGGGAAGGCCAAGGCCGCAUGGUUACCGCGCGACGGGCUGGAGGGGAAGGCGCGUCGAGCUGAUUGGCUCAAGCAUGCAAGUCAUCCUAAUAGCCCUAUGAGAAAUUUGAGAACCGUCUCCCAUUUGCUGGAUGUGGCAUCUGUGGUAAUAGCACCCCACAAUGGAGCCGCUAUAGAAGUCCUGAGAAUCCUCCUUCGCGCUCAGACUCGCCAGUUGGCCCUCUAAAGGGAGACUCAUGAAUGUUGAGAUACUCCUGAGCUGGACAUGAUGGCGCACACCUGUAAUCCCAGGACUGGGAAGGCUAAGGCCGAAGGAUCCUGAGUUUGAGCCUGGACUACA